Molecule: ribosomal RNA, 262 nt
Filed under: uncultured bacterium
Lineage: Bacteria
Description: partial 16S ribosomal RNA
Rfam family: Bacterial small subunit ribosomal RNA
Source: RNAcentral
UUAGUGGCGGACGGGUGAGUAACGCGUGGGUAACCUGCCUUACACAGGGGGAUAACACUUAGAAAUAGGUGCUAAAACCGCAUAAGCGCACAGCUUCGCAUGAAGCGGUGUGAAAAACUCCGGCGGUGUAAGAUGGACCCGCGUCUGAUUAGCUUGUUGGCGGGGUAACGGCCCACCAAGGCGACGAUCAGUAGCCGGCCUGAGAGGGCGGACGGCCACAUUGGGACUGAGACACGGCCCAAACUCCUACGGAAGGCAGCAG